AGUGAACGCUGGCGGUAGGCCUAACACAUGCAAGUCGAACGGCAGCACAGUAAGAGCUUGCUCUUAUGGGUGGCGAGUGGCGGACGGGUGAGGAAUACAUCGGAAUCUACUUUUUCGUGGGGGAUAACGUAGGGAAACUUACGCUAAUACCGCAUACGACCUUCGGGUGAAAGCAGGGGACCUUCGGGCCUUGCGCGAUUGAAUGAGCCGAUGUCGGAUUAGCUAGUUGGCGGGGUAAAG
Molecule: ribosomal RNA, 240 nt
Filed under: Stenotrophomonas sp.
Lineage: Bacteria; Pseudomonadati; Pseudomonadota; Gammaproteobacteria; Lysobacterales; Lysobacteraceae
Description: partial 16S ribosomal RNA
Rfam family: Bacterial small subunit ribosomal RNA
Source: RNAcentral